GUGGCUAUGGUGUAGCGGCAACACGAGAGGUUGUGGUCCUCUAAUCAUGGGUUCAACUCCCGUUAGCCACC
Candidatus Berkelbacteria bacterium is the source of this 71-nucleotide non-coding RNA. The record is from Rfam. Lineage: Bacteria; Candidatus Berkelbacteria.